GUUGGGUCAGCAUGUAGAACAUCAUAUGUGGUUAUAUUAUUCCUGCAAAGUAGGGGCAGCUGGAGAGUAGGGUAGGGGGAGUGGAAAACAUAAUGGAGCAUCUAGACCUAAGAAAAAUCUCUGGGGGGGAGAGGCAAACCAAGGUGUGGGGGGGAAUGCCCCCCUUAACCCAUAGCAAAUGAUGCCCCUGUGUUUCUCAGAAAACCAUUUAUACUGAGUAGAAGACUCCUAUCCCCAGAGCUGCGUGGUGGAGGUAUUGGAGAAUGAUGUAAUUUCCAGAAAACUUCAAGUAGUCCCAGCUAAACUUUUCUUGAUGCACUUUUGUGAAAACAUUGCUCAAUAUCGUGCUCGGAGUGUACACAGGACAGCUGCCUGAUUCUGAAGGUCAUGGCCCUGCAUGCGUGAGAAAACCCUGGAGGCUGCUGCAUCUUAUGCCACUGGGCUAUGGCCCCUAAAGGAUCAUACACCAUGGAGAAUUGUCAGAGAAUUACUAUUAUAUUAUAGUAGCACCAAGAGACCCAACUAAGAUCAGUGCUCCAUUGCACUAGUCACUGUACAAAGCCAUCAUGAGAGACAGUCGUUGCCCCAGAGAGCU
Non-coding RNA from Chrysemys picta bellii (western painted turtle), 595 nucleotides. Lineage: Eukaryota; Metazoa; Chordata; Testudines; Emydidae. The record is from RefSeq and is a predicted model, not a curated record.